Molecule: ribosomal RNA, 944 nt
Filed under: Darkera parca
Lineage: Eukaryota; Fungi; Ascomycota; Leotiomycetes; Phacidiales; Phacidiaceae
Description: SSU rRNA
Rfam family: Eukaryotic small subunit ribosomal RNA
Source: RNAcentral
CUCAUUAAAUCAGUUAUCGUUUAUUUGAUAGUACCUUACUACUUGGAUAACCGUGGUAAUUCUAGAGCUAAUACAUGCUAAAAACCUCGACUUCGGAAGGGGUGUAUUUAUUAGAUAAAAAACCAAUGCCCUUCGGGGCUCCUUGGUGAUUCAUAAUAACUUAACGAAUCGCAUGGCCUUGUGCCGGCGAUGGUUCAUUCAAAUUUCUGCCCUAUCAACUUUCGAUGGUAGGAUAGUGGCCUACCAUGGUUUCAACGGGUAACGGGGAAUUAGGGUUCUAUUCCGGAGAGGGAGCCUGAGAAACGGCUACCACAUCCAAGGAAGGCAGCAGGCGCGCAAAUUACCCAAUCCCGACACGGGGAGGUAGUGACAAUAAAUACUGAUACAGGGCUCUUUUGGGUCUUGUAAUUGGAAUGAGUACAAUUUAAAUCCCUUAACGAGGAACAAUUGGAGGGCAAGUCUGGUGCCAGCAGCCGCGGUAAUUCCAGCUCCAAUAGCGUAUAUUAAAGUUGUUGCAGUUAAAAAGCUCGUAGUUGAACCUUGGGCCUGGCUGGCCGGUCCGCCUCACCGCGUGCACUGGUCCGGCCGGGUCUUUCCUUCUGGGGAGCCGCAUGCCCUUCACUGGGUGUGUCGGGGAACCAGGACUUUUACUUUGAAAAAAUUAGAGUGUUCAAAGCAGGCCUAUGCUCGAAUACAUUAGCAUGGAAUAAUAGAAUAGGACGUGUGGUUCUAUUUUGUUGGUUUCUAGGACCGCCGUAAUGAUUAAUAGGGAUAGUCGGGGGCAUCAGUAUUCAAUUGUCAGAGGUGAAAUUCUUGGAUUUAUUGAAGACUAACUACUGCGAAAGCAUUUGCCAAGGAUGUUUUCAUUAAUCAGUGAACGAAAGUUAGGGGAUCGAAGACGAUCAGAUACCGUCGUAGUCUUAACCAUAAACUAUGCCGACUAG